GUCGCAGAUGGGGAUGGAGUCCCCCGACAACCGCCCGGCGAUCGAUGACCUCAUGGGCUGAUGACUCCUGCUCGAGG
Molecule: non-coding RNA, 77 nt
Filed under: Bradyrhizobium yuanmingense
Lineage: Bacteria; Pseudomonadati; Pseudomonadota; Alphaproteobacteria; Hyphomicrobiales; Nitrobacteraceae
Description: Fluoride sequence
Rfam family: Fluoride riboswitch aptamer (crcB RNA motif)
Source: RNAcentral